UCCAGGGUAGCCUAGUGGACAUGGCAUCUGCUCGGUAAGCGGAACAUUGUGGGUUCGAUUCCCAUCUCUGGAC
RNAcentral lists this transfer RNA (73 nucleotides) under Cordylochernes scorpioides. RNAcentral's name for it is "tRNA-Thr". It matches the Rfam family "tRNA". Rfam says of the family: Transfer RNA (tRNA) molecules are approximately 80 nucleotides in length. Their secondary structure includes four short double-helical elements and three loops (D, anti-codon, and T loops). Further hydrogen bonds mediate the characteristic L-shaped molecular structure. tRNAs have two regions of fundamental functional importance: the anti-codon, which is responsible for specific mRNA codon recognition, and the 3' end, to which the tRNAs corresponding amino acid is attached (by aminoacyl-tRNA synthetases). tRNAs cope with the degeneracy of the genetic code in two manners: having more than one tRNA (with a specific anti-codon) for a particular amino acid; and 'wobble' base-pairing, i.e. permitting non-standard base-pairing at the 3rd anti-codon position. Lineage: Eukaryota; Metazoa; Arthropoda; Arachnida; Pseudoscorpiones; Chernetidae. The record is from RNAcentral.